GUGGGGAAUCUUGCGCAAUGGGCGAAAGCCUGACGCAGCCAUGCCGCGUGGAUGAUGAAGGUCUUAGGAUUGUAAAAUCCUUUCACCGGUGAAGAUAAUGACUGUAGCCGGAGAAGAAGCCCCGGCUAACUUCGUGCCAGCAGCCGCGGUAAUACGAAGGGGGCUAGCGUUGCUCGGAUUUACUGGGCGUAAAGGGCGCGUAGGCGGACAUUUAAGUCAGGGGUGAAAUCCCGGGGCUCAACCUCGGAACUGCCUUUGAUACUGGGUGUCUUGAGUAUGAGAGAGGUGUGUGGAACUCCGAGUGUAGAGGUGAAAUUCGUAGAUAUUCGGAAGAACACCAGUGGCGAAGGCGACACACUGGCUCAUUACUGACGCUGAGGUGCGAAAGCCGGGGGAGCGAACGGGAUUAGAUACCCUAGUAGUCC
RNAcentral lists this ribosomal RNA (425 nucleotides) under uncultured bacterium. RNAcentral describes it as "partial 16S ribosomal RNA". It matches the Rfam family "Bacterial small subunit ribosomal RNA", at positions 354 to 796 of the family's 1533-position model. The record is from RNAcentral.